GGCAUUGCUCGCUUACACAUGCAGUCGAGGGGCAGCAUUUUAGUUUGCUUGCAAACUGAAGAUGGCGACCGGCGCACGGGUGAGUAACACGUAUCCAACCUGCCGAUAACUCCGGAAUAGCCUUUCGAAAGAAAGAUUAAUACCGGAUAGCAUACGAAUAUCGCAUGAUAUUUUUAUUAAAGAAUUUCGGUUAUCGAUGGGGAUGCGUUCCAUUAGUUUGUUGGCGGGGUAACGGCCCACCAAGACUACGAUGGAUAGGGGUUCUGAGAGGAAGGUCCCCCACAUUGGAACUGAGACACGGUCCAAACUCCUACGGGAGGCAGCAGUGAGGAAUAUUGGUCAAUGGGCGAGAGCCUGAACCAGCCAAGUAGCGUGAAGGAUGAAGGCUCUAUGGGUCGUAAACUUCUUUUAUAUGGGAAUAAAGUUUUCCACGUGUGGAAUUUUGUAUGUACCAUAUGAAUAAGGAUCGGCUAACUCCGUGCCAGCAGCCGCGGUAAUACGGAGGAUCCGAGCGUUAUCCGGAUUUAUUGGGUUUAAAGGGAGCGUAGGUGGAUUGUUAAGUCAGUUGUGAAAGUUUGCGGCUCAACCGUAAAAUUGCAGUUGAAACUGGCAGUCUUGAGUACAGUAGAGGUGGGCGGAAUUCGUGGUGUAGCGGUGAAAUGCUUAGAUAUCACGAAGAACUCCGAUUGCGAAGGCAGCUCACUAGACUGUCACUGACACUGAUGCUCGAAAGUGUGGGUAUCAAACAGGAUUAGAUACCCUGGUAGUCCACACAGUAAACGAUGAAUACUCGCUGUUUGCGAUAUACAGUAAGCGGCCAAGCGAAAGCAUUAAGUAUUCCACCUGGGGAGUACGCCGGCAACGGUGAAACUCAAAGGAAUUGACGGGGGCCCGCACAAGCGGAGGAACAUGUGGUUUAAUUCGAUGAUACGCGAGGAACCUUACCCGGGCUUAAAUUGCAACAGAAUAUAUUGGAAACAGUAUAGCCGUAAGGCUGUUGUGAAGGUGCUGCAUGGUUGUCGUCAGCUCGUGCCGUGAGGUGUCGGCUUAAGUGCCAUAACGAGCGCAACCCUUAUCUUUAGUUACUAACAGGUUCAUGCUGAGGACUCUAGAGAGACUGCCGUCGUAAGAUGUGAGGAAGGUGGGGAUGACGUCAAAUCAGCACGGCCCUUACGUCCGGGGCUACACACGUGUUACAAUGGGGGGUACAGAAGGCGGCUACCUGGUGACAGGAUGCUAAUCCCAAAAACCUCUCUCAGUUCGGAUCGAAGUCUGCAACCCGACUUCGUGAAGCUGGAUUCGCUAGUAAUCGCGCAUCAGCCAUGGCGCGGUGAAUACGUUCCCGGGCCUUGUACACACCGCCCGUCAAGCCAUGAAAGCCGGGGGUACCUGAAGUACGUAACCGCAAGGAGCGUCUAUAGGUAAACUGGUUC
Molecule: ribosomal RNA, 1433 nt
Filed under: Bacteroides ovatus
Lineage: Bacteria; Pseudomonadati; Bacteroidota; Bacteroidia; Bacteroidales; Bacteroidaceae
Description: 16S ribosomal RNA
Rfam family: Bacterial small subunit ribosomal RNA
Source: RNAcentral